CGGGGAUUACAUUUAGUUGCCGGCGUCAUCCGUGGCCACAUGUGUUGCACUUGCCAGCCCUUCCGGAGCAGUUAAUAGUCUCCAUCAUGACGUUCUUUCGUCGUAAUGAGCCUGUAUAUAAAUAUGGUCUUCACGGCUCUUUUACUGGCGGGCUCCUUUUCGGCAGCCUUUGUCCGUUCAGGAGGGCAGUCUGGGCCCAGCACGG
Non-coding RNA from Pelobates cultripes (western spadefoot toad), 205 nucleotides. The record is from the annotation of a GenBank genome assembly. Lineage: Eukaryota; Metazoa; Chordata; Amphibia; Anura; Pelobatidae.